This 380-nucleotide long non-coding RNA is filed under the name Anas platyrhynchos platyrhynchos (common mallard). RNAcentral describes it as "lncRNA (ENSAPLG00000019110.1)". The record is from RNAcentral. Lineage: Eukaryota; Metazoa; Chordata; Aves; Anseriformes; Anatidae.
AUGGUUACUUUAAACUUUGUUGUCACUAUAACUGUUCCACAUUUAUCCUUCAUCUCUGUUUCUCAGGGUAUGGUUGAAAUGAAGAUGAGAAGGCAGAGGCAGAUUGUACAUCCCAUACUACAAAGCACGGAGAGGCUCAUCCUAUUCACAACUGACAGAGGGUCCAGGAGGUAUUUUGGAAGAGAAAAAGGCUUGAAGUCUGAAAAUGUGCUGGUAACAUCCAGCUGCAGAGGUGAAGUACAGUCUUCUAGCAUUUGUGUCAUUCUGCGGUCUACUCUUUUCAUCUUUGAAGUCACCUGUGCAACUUUCUCCACAGCAGGUAAGUAUUGGUACUGUGUUGUUUGUUUGCAAAAAUCUCUUGGGGAAGAGAUUUCUGUGUU